CUUGGUCAUUUAGAGGAAGUAAAAGUCGUAACAAGGUCUCCGUAGGUGAACCUGCGGAGGGAUCAUUACAAGAACGCCCGGGCUUCGGCCUGGUUAUUCAUAACCCUUUGUUGUCCGACUCUGUUGCCUCCGGGGCGACCCUGCCUUCGGGCGGGGGCUCCGGGUGGACACUUCAAACUCUUGCGUAACUUUGCAGUCUGAGUAAACUUAAUUAAUAAAUUAAAACUUUUAACAACGGAUCUCUUGGUUCUGGCAUCGAUGAAGAACGCAGCGAAAUGCGAUAAGUAAUGUGAAUUGCAGAAUUCAGUGAAUCAUCGAAUCUUUGAACGCACAUUGCGCCCCCUGGUAUUCCGGGGGGCAUGCCUGUUCGAGCGUCAUUUCACCACUCAAGCCUCGCUUGGUAUUGGGCAACGCGGUCCGCCGCGUGCCUCAAAUCGUCCGGCUGGGUCUUCUGUCCCCUAAGCGUUGUGGAAACUAUUCGCUAAAGGGUGUUCGGGAGGCUACGCCGUAAAACAACCCCAUUUCUAAGGUUGACCUCGGAUCAGGUAGGGAUGCCCGCUGAACUUAAGCAUAUCAAUAAGCGGAGGA
Molecule: ribosomal RNA, 588 nt
Filed under: uncultured fungus
Lineage: Eukaryota; Fungi
Description: eukaryotic LSU rRNA
Rfam family: 5.8S ribosomal RNA (bases 224-377)
Source: RNAcentral